This is a long non-coding RNA of Gambusia affinis (western mosquitofish), 6504 nucleotides long. RefSeq lists it as uncharacterized. The transcript is spliced from 3 exons. The record is from RefSeq and is a predicted model, not a curated record. NCBI's taxonomy places the organism in Eukaryota, Metazoa, Chordata, Actinopteri, Cyprinodontiformes, Poeciliidae.
CAGCUUAGCACAAUAUAUUAUGGUAUAGUAUAGUAUUGAAUGACACAGUGUUGUGUAGUAUGGCAUAGUCUAGUGUUGGAAUAUUAGCCACCGUUGAGUAUAGUAGCCACAGCUGCGCUGUGGCUACUAUUCAGUUGAAGCCACAGGGCAGUUGUGGCUACCCUGUGGCUACAGGGCACAGAAGUGAGAUUAGGAAAAAAAUAUUGUGCACACUGAGAGGAUAUGAUAAAAAAUUAUACUAUGUAAUUAUAUCCUAUAACAUCACUACAAUAGGAUUGUACAGUCUAUUGUACUGUGGUGAAAAAUAGUUGUAUACAACAUGAUCAAAUGGAAAAAUGUACUACAUACAUGGUAUACCAUUUCUUGGAUUCUUUUGGUUAGAAUAGUGUAAAAAUAAUUAAAAUACUAUAAUAUUUUAGCUGCAGUUCUUGCAGAGUGCUUUAUCUAGUCGAACGGACUCCAAAGCGCUUCACACUACUUUCAGUCACUCUCCCAUUGACAAGCUACUGGACUGUAGCUGCAGCCACAGCUACCCUGGAGCAGACUGACAAGCAAGGCAAGGUGGGUGAAGUGUUUGCCGAGGGACACUGAAGCUCCUCCCUCCGUAACCACCAUGGUCCCCACAUAGACCUGCUUUACACAGACAAUGGUAGAUAUUUUUGGUUAAUUACUAACAAGUUUAUUAAAUAAAUCAAUCUGAAGAAAGGGCCUUUAUUGUGACUGCUGUAGCUGCCUGGCUUCCACUCUGGUUCUGGCUGACUUGACAAAUCUCCCCUCGCAGAGGCUGUUCAUGUUGCUGCGUGGGGGUGUUGUGGAGGCGCACUGCACAUCUGGACUGCGGAAAAACUUCAGACAGGAAUCCUGACGUGGUCAGACGUGGAAAGACAGAAAGACAGACGGAUGUUCUGCUGCAAUUAUUAUUAUUAUUAUUAUUAUUAUUAUUAUUAUUAUUAUUAUUAUUAUUAUUAUUAUUAUUAUUAUUAUUAAUAGUAGUAGUAGUAGUAGUAUUGGUGGAGGAUUUUCCCCCGUACUCAGCAAUUUUCCUACCCAUCAGUGUAUGGGAUAUAAAUGUAUAGGUCGUAAUUAUUAUAUUUACAAGGCUCUGAGUAUUUUUUGUAUUAUUAUUGGGGUUUUUUUAAAUAAAAGUUGUGUUCAAAAAUCCUCUCUGCUUUAUUGGACUCUUAGUAAACAGAAAACACCUCUGUUGCCUCACAACCUAUAAUUAAUUGUUGUAUUUUUCAGCCACUAAAAGCAAAGUGGAGCUGUUUCACCUGCCAAUAAGAGUGCACUUUGGUUGUAAAGUUACCAUGGUAACACAGCAAUAGAAGCAACUUCAGAGGAGGUGGAACAAGGAAGGGGUAUGUGUUCCUAAUGCUACAUCGAUGAACGAGCCUCAAGGGGUAAAUAGUUACAACUGAUCGUACUAGGGAGGUCCGGUUAAAGGUGAUGAAGGAAAAAUAAGAAAAUGCUACGGCACAAAAAGGGGAAAUAAAUCAGGUGCAUUUUGCAUCCAAACUGUUUAAAAUCUUGCAGUCUUUGAGUGGUCCCAGAACUAGUCUGCAUACCAACAUAUUAGAAUUAAAUCAGAGACCAUCUGUUAGAAGCUAAAACCCAAAAUAGGUUAUGAAGAGCACAAUGGUCUCCAUCUUAGCAAAUAUGCAACAGAAUGACAGAAAGACAGAAUUGUGAUUGAAAAACCACAGUCCUCAGAGCUGCAGUUUCCAAGCUUCUGCCUCACAGAGCAUCCCUGCCCCAGAACUACCCCACUCUUCUCUGUCAGACUAGCCAGCAGCAAUUAGCAAACACCAGGUAGAACUGCAUGUCAGUUGAGCUCAGUGUAGGAGCUACUUGAAAGAUUUUUAAAAGGUUAAUAGAGGAACCAUGUUGGGAUGAUUUCCUGAAAGCAGAGUUUCAGAUAGACAGACAGAGGUCCAUUUGCAAAGUUACAAUUCUUUCAAGUCAUAUUUCAUAUAUUUAGAAUUUCUACAACAACUGAAGGUAACAUAGUUACUUGGCUGUGCUAUGAAAUGGCACUAUGUGGCCGGAAAACACAUAACACUGCCAUACUGCCCCAUUAAGUCUUCCCAAUAAGACUCUGCCCUCUCUCUGUCUCAGUGCAGUGGUGAUAGGCACAAAGCCAAACUCAAACCUGCCGCCAUCAAGCAGGCAAAGACAAUGGAAGAGUUGAUGUUACAUCUGAUGAAACCACUGGAUGUUUGGGGUAAUAUCUAUAGGUCAGACGAGACCAAAGCAGAGCACCAUGUCUGGACCAGCAGCUCAAACACCUGUCAGGGUGGUGGCAUGGUGCUGAGGAUCUGGGCUACCCUACUGACACGGGGUCGAUCAUGAACGGCAAUAAAUAUGACACUAUAAUACAGUCACAUUUAAGACAAUCAUACAUCCAGUUCAUGCCAGUUCAGCACAGAAACACACCGGAAAUGCAAACAUGCACAUAAGAGCUUCACAACAUUUCCCAAAUGUAGCAUUUCUUGCAAUAUCUACACAAAAUCAAUGUUACAAAGAACUGCUUGAACUGUAGUAAAUGUUGUAACAAACCAUGCUUCCAAGUUGGUUCUUUUCCAAAACAUCCAUGCAGGCAGAUGCAAUAUUUGUAACAAAUCACUGUUGUUACAAUGAAAAUAAUAAUAAUUUUUUUUAGCUUCACUUAGCAGGAUAAAUUACUCACUAUAUGGUAUAUAUGUUUGCAAAUAUCGCAAAGCCCUCAGUAAAACAUUUUUUUGCAAGCUUGUCAACAUUGUCAACAUUCUUACAUUACCUGAUAUUGCACAGCCCAAAUGCAGACACACAUGCACACGCCCCUCCACACACACACACACACACACGCACACCCACACACACACACGCACACACACACACACACACACACACACACACACACGCACACGCACACGCACCCACACACACAUGCACACAAGGAUAAUUUAGAGUGGCCAUUAGCCUAGCGUACACUGUAGGAAUAAGCUAAAGAACAUGGAGAGAACCUCUGCAGAGCAGUGGAGAAUAUAUGAACUACCAUAAUAAUAAUAAUAAUAAUAAUAAUAUACAAAAAUAUUUUUGCAAAAACGCUAUGACUGACAUUUUCAACGCAGGAUGUGUUUGCUGCUCUGCUCAGCAGCUUGUCACUUUCCAAACCACCAUACUUGGAGGAACCUUCUCUGGAAAUUCCCUCUAAAUUUAAAUCUUCUACAAAAACAUGUCGUCAUCAGCUGUUCUUUGCAGAAAAAUAACAUAUAUGUACAUGUUGUGGCAUCUCUUAUCAAACUAAAACGUGUUGCAGUAUUUUAUGUCAUGGAGUCUUUGAAGACCAAGUACAUUCUCAGAUCUUUUUCCACCAGAAAAGUGUCAAUGUGGAGAGCUGUUAUAGCUCUCCCAUAUUAUGAUGAAAUGCUCUGAGGCUGACUGCAGGGGGAGACAAAGAUCCUUGUGAACUCACCGGCUGUUGUUGCUCUGCCUCGGUUUUGUUUAUUCUGCAGUGUUUCCACACUUUAACUGUGACUAGUGAUGAUUGUGCUUUUUUGGAAUCUGGGGUUUGUUUUGCUCAUAGUUUGAUCACAGAGUUUAACAUGUCAAUUAAAAAAAGGAAAAUAAAAUCAUAAUUUUACUUUGGAAUUCUCUCUUAUGUUCUUGAGAGAAAAUAAGAGACAAUUUUGACCUAUUUUGGUUAUUAAUACAAACUCAAGUAGUCCAGUCAUUAGAUAUUGUUCCCUGUCUUUAACAUCUGCAGCAAAUUAUUAUAGUUAGAGCAUUUUCAACAGAACUGCAACGGUUUGACAAAUUUGACCACACUCCAUGCUUUGAUUCAACCAGCACUGACCAAAAUAUAAAAUAGUGAAACUGACAGGAAAGACCUCACUGAUUUGCUAAUUGUCACAUUCUUCUUUUUUAUUUUUAAAGGAACUUGUGGACAGUGAAUGUGGGGGCAGUUCAAUAUGCUGCAUGAGGGAACACAGAGAGUGAAGCAAAGGUCAUGUUCAACCAUUUGCUGAUCACAGUUAUGCUUAUGUUUGUUACUUUGGAAAUCACUUUCUGUGACCUCAGGCAUCUGUGUUUAUGUUUAAGUGACCCUAAAUCUGGGUGAAACCAGCAUCUGGAUCUGGAUACACUGAAGUAGUAGACACAAUACAUGUUUGAUGAACUUUUAAAGAUGACACUGCUGUUUUUGUUGUUUUUUUUUUUUUUUAAAUAAUUAGAACAAAAUAAGAAAAGAAAUGCCACAUAAGCUAAUUAAGGUUAAAAUUUCCAAUAUUUCACUCAUCUUCUGAUUCACAGUGUGCUAAUAAAAACUUACCACCUGUCAGCAACUGUUUAUUUUCAGCUGGAGCCUUAACAGGAAAUCUGAUUUUAGCUGUUUCACUCACUUCCAUGAUUUCAGUAAAAGGGAACUUUAAUGUCGCAACUUUGAGGUCUUUUAGAAAAAAGUAGCUCAAAGUCUAGUUUCACUUACUACAUGGACCUCGACCUGCGAAGCUGGAACCUGUCCCUCUAAGAUCAUGGAAUCGAACAUCACCUGCUCCCAGGAGAACUCCACUGAAUCCUGUUUGCAUCCCAGUUCCUCCACAAGUGUAGCCGUGGGCCUCUCACUCUUCGUUAUCUUCCUUGCCAUUGUAAUCGGAGUGCUUGUGUUCAUAUACUGGAGUAAAAUCAGAGCUUUGCUGGGAUCUGUACAGAGAAGAAACCAGGAGAAGGAGGUUUCUGUUGAAAGCCCACAAAGUGAUGAUAACCAGUACACCAGUAUGACCAGAGGACAUCUCCAGCCCCAGCCCCCGUCUCCAAUCUAUGAAAACCUGGGAAAUAAGAAGGCUCCGUUCAACAGGCCUGAUGCAGAACAGAGCAGGUUACCUGCUCAGAGUGAAGAGGACGUGUACAUUCAGUGUGAAGAGAUAGAUGACGGAAUAUACAGCAAUGACCCGGAGUUUAACCCCAAACCGCCUGAGCUCCACGAUGAAGACGUCUACCUCAUGCCUGACUCCUGAAGGGAAUGGAUGAAUGAAUUUAUUUUCACUAUAGUCAUGUACACUGAGAUUCUAGUCAGAAAGAGCUUCAAAGACAGUGUAAGAAAUACAAUAUAAAUACAGCAUUAUGGGGUAUUUAUGCUGCUGCGUUUGUUGACUUAUUGUAAAUAGAAAAGUUUGCGAACCACAAUUUGUCUAAGGUCUUUCCAUACUUUUUGUUGCCACAUGUAAUUGAUAGUUGCAGUAGGAACUAGAAGUUUACAUACACUGCAUAAAAGGAAUGGUCUGUCAAGAUGUCAAGAAGGGAAUUGUGGCUCUCCACAAGUCUGAUUCAUUGUGGUAACACUUUAUUUGAAGGAUUGUGCAUAAAAGUUACUGUUAUAAGCAUGAAAGAGUCUUUAUGAAUAUUUAUGACUGUUGUAAUAAAGUGUCAUUUGGUAAAUAAUGACACUGUUAAUGCAAAGUCGAUACUUUUAAUGGACUUUUAAUACAACUUUUAAUAGAACUUUGUGUAAAAGGGUCAUUAUUAACCAAAUAAUGCAAAGUUUACACUUUUAAUCAACUUUUAUUUACCGAAUGAUACUUCAUGACAACAGUUGUAAACAUUCAUGAAGACUCCUUCAUGUUUAUGACUGUUAAUGUGACAUGUUUACGACAGUGUCAUGUCAGUCUUAUGCACACUCCUUAAAAUAAAGCGUUAUCUUUAUUUACCACAUGCCCAAACUGAAGAUAAAGAAUGGAGCUCCAAAUUUGAAAAUGUGUUAAUGUGCUAAAGUAAUCGAAUCCAGUUUAUCAAAGUAAAUAUAUUACUUGUUUAUCUUAAGCAAAUGUAAAUAAAGUAAGCCAAGUUGAUUUGAUUUCAUGUAACAAAUUUACACAUUUGUUUUAGUGCAUGCUAGAAUGUGCCUCAUUCAAUUAAAACAAUUAAAGGCAAAUACAAACAGCAUAGAAAUGUCCUACCAUCAUAUCAUUUCAUACAUUAUCUGUCUCAGACAUAAAUAUAAUGUGUGAAAUGUACAAACUGGGGGCUGCACAGUGGAGCAGUUGGUAAAACUGUUGCUUUGCAACAAGAAGGUCCUGGUUAUGAUUCCCAGCCUAGGGUUUUUCUACAUGGAGUUUGCAUGUUUCUGACAGUUCAAAUCCAUGACUGUCAGGUAAAUUGAUCUCUCUAAAUUCUCCCUCGGUGUGAGUGUGUGUGCGUGGUUGUUUGCCAUUACUCUACAAGCAGCAAAAAUCACCAGAUUGCAGACCUUGACCACCUGAGGUCUGAUGGAACUUAAACAUAAUGUGUGUGGAUAUAAUGAUUGAUGUUACACCUCAUUUAACCUUCAGAGAGCUGAGGGCAGGAUAACAAGUGAUGUCUGUUCUUUACUCUGAUAUUCAUUUAUUUGUGUUGACAUUUAUUUUAUGGUUGGUCUUCCGAAUGCUCUAACUUCAUGGCAGCAUUUUUUGUGUAUUUGUCUUCUCACCAUGUUGUUUGCAGAUGUGCUUAGAGUGAACUCACCCAUUAAAGCGUAUUUUAAUACAACAA